RNAcentral lists this long non-coding RNA (237 nucleotides) under Gossypium raimondii (Peruvian cotton). RNAcentral describes it as "long non-coding RNA (GRAI_LNC002696)". The record is from RNAcentral. Lineage: Eukaryota; Viridiplantae; Streptophyta; Magnoliopsida; Malvales; Malvaceae.
AAAAAUCAAGAAGAUGAAGGGUGAAAGAGAGGAGAAAAUCAACAGCAAUGAAGAGAAAAAUGGCAAGAGUGUGGAGGGAUUUUUGGGAAUGUAAAAAAAAAAGGAAAAAAAUAUGAAUAGAAUAUUUGAUAACCACCCCAAUCUCUUAUUUGUCUCCAUCAAACUCCCCACUAAAUCCAGUACUUAGAUUUUUAGUCCAUCUCAAACUCUCCUAGACGCACGAGCAAAAAUAAUGCC